AAUUGACAUUGGCCUUCCAGCUCUGUCCCAACCUGCUUCCAGGAACCAAAUUACUGUCUCAGCACAAAAGAGGGCUGAAAUUUAGUAAGCGGUAAGCAGUGCCAACUCUGCAGCUGGCAUCCUGUGUAGGGUUGGCAUAUUUGUUCAAGCCUUUUACUUUCCUGGUCUCUUUAGACUCUAGCUUUUCCCCUUGGUCUGCACUGUUUCAUGAGUCAUUCCUGUCUUGAACUGUGUAGAGUGUGGUUGGAGACUGGAGGGAGAGAGUGUUGGUGUCAUCCAGGCUAUUUGGUGUCUGCUAAGAACACAACUUUGGAACCUUAUUACUUUGGGGCGAGGACCAGCCCGCUAGACCCAGAGUCCCUGCAGGAUCUGAAGUCCUCAGUGGUGGCCACACUGAUUUUGCUCCCAGGCAGACACAAACAAGCAAACUUCUUUCUGGCUUCCCUGUUCAUCUCUGGAGGAAGUCAAGAAACCUGGGGGACAUUGAAUGGGACCAAGCACCCCCAUGAUUAUCAGGAAGUGGACAGUGCAUGUGUGUGACGGUCAGAAGAGUCAUUUCACUAUUUGAGUCUUCUCUUUCUCACCUGUAUGAAGAGGCUGUAAUCGCAGCCCUUUCUCUCUCAUAUACUUGUUGUGAGGAUUAAAUGAGGUCAUGUUUGGGAAAUUGAAAACAGCUAACAGCUAAUGUUCCUUGGGUAUAUCCCAGAUACCUUUAUAGUCUCCAUUUUAUAAAUAAAGGACCCAGAGACUGGGGAAGUUAAGUGCUUUGCUAAAUGUCACAGAGUAAAUAAGUGAGUUCAGUUCAGUCGCUCAGUCGUGUCUGAGAGCCUGGUAUUUGUCAUGUGUCUGACCCCAGAGUCUAAGCUUUUCAUCACCGUAUCAUAUACUGUUUCAGACUUGAGCUGUGUGACAUCGGACAAGUGACUUCCCUCUCUGGUCUUCUGCGGUACCAUCUGAAAAUGAGAGACUUGGCAUGGAUUAAUGCUAAGGUCCCUUUCAGCUCCAAAUUCCUGGUUGUAUUUUAAUAAAGGAUACUUACACCCACCGCCUGAUAGCACUUCCUUCCUCCAAGUUUGGUCUUCUUUGAACAUGGGAUGACUUGACCAUUUGCAGCCUCUAGCUGAGAGAGCAUGCUGGAGGAGCAGGCAGAUUGUCACGCACAUCUAAAUAGCAGAGCCGAGCCUGCCUAAGUGGGAAAUGGAUGUUGUAAUACAAAGGCAGUUACCCGGGUCCUUGGAGGUUUCAGCAGGAU
Molecule: long non-coding RNA, 1252 nt
Filed under: Capra hircus (goat)
Lineage: Eukaryota; Metazoa; Chordata; Mammalia; Artiodactyla; Bovidae
Description: lncRNA (ENSCHIG00000002301.1)
Source: RNAcentral